UUUCCCAAACCUAUUGCCGCAUCAAAUUUCCCCACCCAAUCUCCCUCCCCAAGUUUAAAAUUUUCCGUUUUCAGAAUAGGUCAUGUUCCCGCUUCCCCCAAACUAGUUCUCGAGUUGAGGUGUUUUGGUUCUCAGAUCUAAGGUGUCUUCAAUAUAUAGGUUCUUGGCGUUCCAACAACCCCUUGACUUGUAGUAGGUUUGCCUCUCUUUCUCUUCUGCUUAGAUGAGUUUACCCUCUUUGUCCCUUCACCACCAAAACCUACGGCUCAUCACCACCAACCAGCGGCUAAUCAACAACCCCUCGAUUUCUCUGUUCAGGUGCAGGUUUGAAGAUGCACGCCAAGUGCUUGAUGAAACGCUACAACCAAACUCACUUUUGUUUCACAUUAUUUUUUUACAAGAUAAGUGUAUAUUUAUCUUAGUUUUAAUUGUGUUGAUGUAUAGGAAUUGUGUGUCUUUUGAUCUGAUAGCUUGUUAAUAUUUAGUUUUCUAUUUAGCAUAAUUAUUGUCCAUGGAACUGGUAGGAUAUUGAAAAAUCUUGAAUGUUCAUGAAUUGUCCGUCGAUAAUCUUUUUUUACCUUUUAAAGUAAUUAUAUUCUCUCUUUUGUUCUUUCUUUUUUUAUUAUUUUAAAUACACUUUUAUGUUGUACAUGACUAACAUGUUUUCUUUAAUGAAUCUGAGUUUUGUUAUUAUCUAGUGUCUAAAAGAUGAGAGGUUUUUAUGCUGGCUAUUGGGGUAUCGAUUACGUCAUUAUUGAUUGCUAAGAAAUCUACUAUUUUAAACGUUGCAAGACUUGUUGCUAUACAAUAUGUAAGCAUUCAAUAGAAGAUAAUACGAUGAAGGUGAAGUUUCAACAUGAAUAAAGUCCAAUAAUGCUAAUAAAGUUAAACUAAGACCCAUCACAAAACAUGAAGCAUAGAAGCCUGUAGAGUCCUACACAUUGACGGAUAAGUCAAUAGAUAUACAAUAGUUGAUGUAUUAUACUCAAUACUAUUUUUUCUAUUAUUUUUAUAUACUUAGUUUUAAGAGAAUACUUGAUGUAUUUAUAUUGUAUAUUAACCUAAUAUUUGUUUGUUCAUA
Molecule: long non-coding RNA, 1081 nt
Organism: Helianthus annuus (common sunflower)
Lineage: Eukaryota; Viridiplantae; Streptophyta; Magnoliopsida; Asterales; Asteraceae
Exons: 3
Source: RefSeq, a predicted model, not a curated record